GACGAACGCUGGCGGCGUGCUUAACACAUGCAAGUCGAACGGAAAGGCCCUGCUUUUGUGGGGUGCUCGAGUGGCGAACGGGUGAGUGACACGUGAGUAACCUGCCCUUGACUUUGGGAUAACUUCAGGAAACUGGGGCUAAUACCGGAUAGGAGCUCCUGCUGCAUGGUGGGGGUUGGAAAGUUUCGGCGGUUGGGGAUGGACUCGCGGCUUAUCAGCUUGUUGGUGGGGUAGUGGCUUACCAAGGCUUUGACGGGUAGCCGGCCUGAGAGGGUGACCGGCCACAUUGGGACUGAGAUACGGCCCAGACUCCUACGGGAGGCAGCAGUGGGGAAUAUUGCACAAUGGGCGGAAGCCUGAUGCAGCAACGCCGCGUGCGGGAUGAAGGCCUUCGGGUUGUAAACCGCUUUCGCCUGUGACGAAGCGUGAGUGACGGUAAUGGGUAAAGAAGCACCGGCUAACUACGUG
Molecule: ribosomal RNA, 468 nt
Filed under: uncultured bacterium
Lineage: Bacteria
Description: partial 16S ribosomal RNA
Rfam family: Bacterial small subunit ribosomal RNA
Source: RNAcentral